AUAGGAAAUUGUUAGUGGCAGACGGGUGAGUAAUGCGUAGGAAUCUACCUAGUAGUACGGAAUAGCCAUUAGAAAUGGUGGGUAAUACUGUAUAAUCCCCGAGGGGGAAAGAUUUAUCGCUAUUAGAUGAGCCUACGUUAGAUUAGCUAGUUGGUGAGGUAAUGGCUUACCAAGGCUAUGAUCUAUAGCUGGUCUGAGAGGACGAUCAGCCACACUGGAACUGAGAUACGGUCCAGACUCCUACGGGAGGCAGCAGUGGGGAAUAUUGGACAAUGGGCGAAAGCCUGAUCCAGCUAUGCCGCGUGAGUGAAGAAGGCCUUCGGGUUGUAAAACUCUUUCAAUAGGGAAGAUAAU
Molecule: ribosomal RNA, 354 nt
Filed under: Ehrlichia canis
Lineage: Bacteria; Pseudomonadati; Pseudomonadota; Alphaproteobacteria; Rickettsiales; Anaplasmataceae
Description: bacterial SSU rRNA
Rfam family: Bacterial small subunit ribosomal RNA
Source: RNAcentral